This 196-nucleotide small RNA is filed under the name Paenibacillus sp. RNAcentral's name for it is "c-di-AMP sequence". It matches the Rfam family "c-di-AMP riboswitch aptamer (ydaO/yuaA leader)". From Rfam's summary of the family: This family represents a conserved RNA structure found upstream of the ydaO and yuaA genes in Bacillus subtilis and related genes in other bacteria. The ydaO/yuaA element is thought to act as a genetic "off" switch for the ydaO and yuaA genes in its native state. RNAcentral also lists the same sequence under 1 other name. Lineage: Bacteria; Bacillati; Bacillota; Bacilli; Caryophanales; Paenibacillaceae. The record is from RNAcentral.
ACGGGAUAAUCGCUUAAUCUCCGAUAUGGAGAGCGGGGGAACCACAUGUAUGGAUGGAUUAGAUAUAAUCCACUGACCAUACCCUGGGGUGAAUUCCGAUGACAGGCGCUUCCUUAUGCCGCGUGUUCAUCAGAUAGGGCGACUCUCACCGCCCGAAUCCGACAGCUAACCUCGUCAGCGUUGAUGGAGAGGGUUG